Long non-coding RNA from Notolabrus celidotus (New Zealand spotty), 310 nucleotides. RefSeq lists it as uncharacterized. Lineage: Eukaryota; Metazoa; Chordata; Actinopteri; Labriformes; Labridae. The record is from RefSeq and is a predicted model, not a curated record. The transcript is spliced from 3 exons.
UUCCUACACACAGCCGCACGCAACUACAAAUGUCAUAAUGUCCGGCUUUUACUGAAGUUUUGUUUGACUGAGCUACAGACGGGAGAUGGACAUAAGGCGUUUUUUUUCGAAGAAAAGGAAAGUGGUUGAGAUUGAGAGUGAGUCAGAGGCAAGGGCACUAUGCAGGGGCAGUGGAGACAGCUCUGUUGCUGAGGAACAACAGUCAUUAGAUAGGGAAGAGGGAGAGGGAAAUAUUGAGAGCAAGAGAGAGAGAACGGCCCAUUCUGAUGGAGAUGCAAGAGAGAGGGAUGCUGAGAGAGACGAGGGUGAG